UAUAUAUAUAUGUAUACCACAACUUCUGUAUCCAUUCAUCCAUUGAUGAAUGUAUAUCUUCUCUGUGGUAUGUAGAGGCCUCAGUGAGUGAAGAUGUCAUCAUUGAUCAUUGUUUCCCCACCAUCUAAUUCAUCUUAAGCACUGUUGGAGGAACUGCUCGGGUGUGGAUGUAAACAAUGGACAGCAACACUGCAAGUCCUGCAUUCCUGUGAUUAAGAGCAGUGGUUCCCAUAAAGAUAGAGGCAUAGACAGAGUUCAUCUUCAUUUUAGCCGUGGUUAAACCUUUUACUGCAUGUGCUAUUUGAUCAUGAUCCAGAUAUAUGGGUGUCUGGAACUCGAGACUUCCAUUGCUUUGGGCCAUGGGGAUUUGUGGUAUUUAUGUUUCUGUUUAACAUCAGUUGAAAGGAUUUGAAAAUGAUUUUUCAUUCAGCGUAUCAUUUUGCUGCUCUUCUACUGAGUGACGUGAUUUGUACCCCAUGGAAUCUUCAAGUUUCUCCCAGUCUGAGGAAGGGUUCUGGUCAUUUGCACAGUUGUAGCCCAUCAUGGGUUUCCUGUGAGUAGAAUAAUAUCUGUGCAAGUUCAAUGUGAUUUCCUGGUUAAAACACUAAAAAGAGCUCUGAAUGUUUAGAGGGUAAUGAUCCAAGGAAUAACUGAGGUGAGCUGUAGACACACAGUGUCAUUUUAUUUAUUUAUUUAUUUUUAAUUUUAUUUAUUAUUUUUUUUGUGAGGAAGAUCAGUCCUGAACUAACAUCCAAUGCCAAUCCUCCUCUUUUUUACUGAGGAAGACUGGCCCUGGGCCAACAUCCAUGCCCAUCUUCCUCUACUUUAUAUGGGAUGCCGCCACAGCAUGGCCUGACAAGCGGUGAGUUGGUGCACACCUGGGAUCCGAACCUGCGAACCCCGGGCCCCCGAAGCGGAGCGUGCGCACUUAACCACUCCGCCACUGAGCCGGCCCCACACAGCAUCAUUUAGAGUAAUAUCCUGUGUGGUGGCAAAGGAGGUAAAUUUGACAUCCUCAACCUGGGAAAUUUCCUAUGCUUUUUCGUAAGAGGAGUAGCUGGGAGGUUUUUGUUUCAAUGAUGCAUACAGCCCCCAAAGCCCAUUUUUGCUGUUUUUGGGGAUCAUAUCCAUAUGUUUACAUUUCCAGGAGAUGAUAUGGAUGACGGGGUAAAACAUGACAGCUUUUGUUUCAUUAAACAACAAUGGAAAUCCAAACUUCUUCCUUUUUUCAGAGCUAAUUUACGUUUUCUUAGCAUUGUAGAGAUUACGUGAUUUUAUAAUUAUUGAUCCCCUGCCCCCAUCCUUCCACCCAUGUUGCAGAUGAAGAAAGUUAAGCAUGGGGUCUUUCCCAAAUUGACAUAGCCCGUAACUGUGGAAUCUCUUAGUUUUGAAGGCAUAAUGUGUGCCCUUUCCUGGGCAAUGUCAAAAAUUUCAAACCCACAGUAACACUGCAAGGUUUGUAUAAUUAUGCCCUUUUACAAAAGUGGCAUCAAAGUUUCCAAACAGGACUUGUAAGGUGACAUGGUGUUCCACUUACAUGACAUUCAGGAAGGGCAAAGGUAUAGGAACCUAAAACAGAUCGGUUCUUUUUUUUUUUUUUUGUGAGGAAGAUCGGCCCUGAGCUAACAUCCAUGCUAAUCCUCCUCUUUUUUUUUUUUUUUUGCUGAGGAAGACCGGCUCUGAGCUAACAUCUAUUGCCAAUCCUCCUCCUUAUUUUCCCCUAAAGCCCCAGCAGAUAGUUGUAUGUCAUAGUUGCACAUCCUUCCAGUUGCUGUAUGUGGGACACAGCCUCAGCAUGGCCAGAGAAGCAGUGCGUGGUUGUGCGCCCGGGAUCCGAACCUGGGCCCCCAACAGCGGAGCGCGUGCACUUAACCGCUAAGCCACGGGGCCGGCCCCCGGUUCUUAAUGGUGGGAGGGUUCAGUACCAAUGGGCACCAUGAGAGUGUUCCUUUGGGUAAUGGAGUCUUCUCCGUCCUGAUGGUGGUAUAACUAUACGUUUGUGAAAAUGCACAACUGCUCUUAAUAUAGUAUGUGUAUAUACUAAAAACAAAUAAUAGAAAACAACAAAAGGUUUUCACAUCUAGGAGAAUGUUAAACGCUCCUGACCUUGGAUUGCUACGUGUGCAACACUUGCUUCCACCAGCUUGGGUUCCUCUUAGGAAGAUAUGGAAGGACUUGGGAAGAAGGACAUAGGCUACUAUAGACUUUUCUUGGUACCCAGUCUGAAGUUAGAAAACUCCCUCUAAGACUACAUCUGCCCUCAUGUCAUUCUCAUAACUGAUGUUUUGACAUCUUGGGGGGCCUCUCAGACAUAGGGAGACACUGCCCCUCCCAGGGGGACCUACUUCCAUGUUGGCAGUGGACAGCUUGUCUGGAGCAGGCCUUUCAUGUGCACACCACCCAGUCCAGUGCCCUGUCCCUACAGACCUCCUUAUCCACCUCUCACACACCAAGACAAUAUCUCCCCUGCCCUAAACCAACCCAGGGCCAGGAACCAGAUGACUAAGGACCAUCUCUAUGCCGCAAAGGCUGCUGGAAGUGUUCAAAGUAGCUAAUCCUUAGCUGCUCACUCUGCCCUGACUUAACAUUUCCUGUGUAACCCCAGAUGAAGGCUGUGGCCUAGGUUUUUGUCAAACUCCUGAUUCUGCCUCCUGAGCAAACCUGAUGCAUCCCCUGUGACCCUGCCUGGCAUGGCAUGCCCCCUUAUCUUGGGAAGUGUAAGUAAUAAAAAUCUUUAAAUGAU
This is a long non-coding RNA of Diceros bicornis minor, 2743 nucleotides long. RefSeq lists it as uncharacterized. The transcript has 2 exons. Lineage: Eukaryota; Metazoa; Chordata; Mammalia; Perissodactyla; Rhinocerotidae. The record is from RefSeq and is a predicted model, not a curated record.